This 774-nucleotide ribosomal RNA is filed under the name uncultured Neocallimastigales. RNAcentral's name for it is "partial large subunit ribosomal RNA". It matches the Rfam family "Eukaryotic large subunit ribosomal RNA", at positions 24 to 616 of the family's 3401-position model. Lineage: Eukaryota; Fungi; Neocallimastigomycota; Neocallimastigomycetes; Neocallimastigales. The record is from RNAcentral.
GUAGUCUCGCACAGAUGCAUAUCAAUAAGCGGAGGAAAAGAAACUAACAAGGAUUCCCCUAGUAACGGCGAGUGAAGCGGGAAGAGCUCAAAUUUGAAAUCUUAAAGGGUUUCCCUUUACGAAUUGUAGUUUAAAGAAGUGUUUUCUGUUGAGGUUUUGGUAAAAGUUCUUUGGAAUAAGACAUCAUAGAGGGUGAGAAUCCCGUAUUUGACCUUUACUUUCAACUUUGUGAUACACUUUCAAAGAGUCGGAUUGUUUGGGAAUGCAGUCCAAAAUGGGUGGUAAAUUUCAUCUAAAGCUAAAUAUUGGCGAGAGACCGAUAGCGAACAAGUACCGUGAGGGAAAGGUGAAAAGAACUCUGAAAAGAGAGUUAAACAGUACGUGAAAUUGUCAAAAGGGAAGCGUUUGACACCAGUGUUGUUUUUCUGAAAAUCAAUUAAAGAACUGUUUAUGCUAAGCUGUUUAGACUUUAUCAGCUAUCUGUUUAGUUUUGAGCUUUUCUUUAAUGCACUUUUCAGUUAACAAGUCAACAUCAAUUUCUUUUGCUGUAAAAAAGCUUGAGGAAGGUGGCUUGAGAUUCGUCUUAAGUGUUUAUAGCCUCUUGCCUAUGCAGUCGGAGAGAUUGAGGUCUGCAGCGUAGAUCCUUCGGGGCUAAAUGCAUUUGUGCUAAGUUAUAGCAUUUUAUAGACAACUUGUUGACUAUGAUUUGUCUUGUAGCUUACUCGCUUAUGUUAUUUUACCUACGCUUAGGAUGUUGAGCGCAUGUCUCUCUCU